GCUUACGACCACACCGGCCUGAGUAAGCCUGAUCUCGUCUGAUCUCGGAAGCUAAGCAGGGUCGGGCCUGGUUAGUACUUGGAUGGGGAGACUGCCUGGGAAUACCAGGUGCUGUAAGCU
Molecule: ribosomal RNA, 120 nt
Filed under: Oncorhynchus kisutch (coho salmon)
Lineage: Eukaryota; Metazoa; Chordata; Actinopteri; Salmoniformes; Salmonidae
Source: RNAcentral